Rhineura floridana is the source of this 1446-nucleotide long non-coding RNA. RefSeq lists it as uncharacterized. The record is from RefSeq and is a predicted model, not a curated record. Lineage: Eukaryota; Metazoa; Chordata; Lepidosauria; Squamata; Rhineuridae. The transcript is spliced from 2 exons.
AAGUGCUGAUUGAAAAUUGCUGAUGGUUUUCUUAUGAGCCUGAGCAGAUACUGCUUGACACAUGGAUUGGAGCAAGCAGGAAAAGGAAGACAUUGGGGAUUGAGACUGCAUGAAUCCACAAUACAAUCUGAAUUUCUUAUGAGAGGGAUUGUGGAGAAUGAAAAAUCUUGUGAAAAUGCAUUAUCUCAAUGACAUCCGAGGCCUGAUGAUUAAUCCGUGGCAUCAAUAUGUUAUUCCUCUGGAUGCCAUCUGUUGACAGUUAGACUGUAGCUUGUCAUGUGAGAGGGAAGGGAGCCAAGCUAACCAAGCCUCACCUUCUUAACUCCACCACUGCCACCAAGUGGAUAUCUCCCUCUCUCCUCACCCCCCCCCCGGAACAUACCUUUUAAGCUCCGGAACAUUUUAAUUGGCCCAGACCUCUCUCUACUGAGUAGAGCGGUAAGGCAGGUAGGCAUGGAUGAAUGACAUGAUCUCAGGCAUAUUUAAACACAAACCCACUUUUAUUUGAGGUUUUUGUAAGGUGACAAAUUAGCUGUUCUUAAAUAUUCCUUAAAAAAACCCGUAAACAGUUCCUCAUAAGAGGAAAAUGAUGGUAACAGAGGAAAGGCUAAAUCUAGACUUGACAGAAGUAGUAGUCAGCAGGGUGAGGUGGGAUGGCACUGAUCACUUGACUUCCCAAUGCUAGGGUCACUGCUGGUUACCAAAAAGGGAAAGGGUGAGGUGGCAGGGAGCUUAUCCUUAAUUUUUAAUUAAAUGUAUCACAAUUGGGAUAUUGUUCCCACCGUUGCUACAUGAAACCAUGUUUGCUAAGUAAAAUUACUAACUGUUGAUAAUAAAUGUUGAUGUAAUUGUGGUUCAUUAGGACCCUAUUUCCAUUUAUGGUGGUCUUGCCUUAAACUUGCCAAGUUUUGGGAAAAAUUUUUUUUGAGAAAUUGAGCAAAUCACAGUACAGGAGAUAGCCCCCAAUUGUACACUAGUUCUGCUAUUAGUCUAUGACGACUCCACUCGACCUUUAAUGCAUAAAGCCUUGAUAACAUUUUUGUUAAUUGUUGCAAAACUGACAAUAGCAAAAUGCUGGAGAUGCUUAAAUGCAGACCUGAUGCAAGACUGGUAUGCCCAGGUGUGGUAUUUGGCCCUUAUGGAGAAAUUGACAUUGGCAAGUGUGUGACAGAGGAACUUGGACCAAUGCCUUGAAAUUUUAUGGAACUUGGUUUAUUUUUAUACAGUAUGCUGCAUCCCUUGAGCGUGGAUUUCGCCCCUCUGUGGCACACAAUUCCUUCUAGAAAAAUACUUUUGAUUAAGCUAUAAGGCUGUUUUCUUAUGUGAUAAGUUGGAAAUGCAACGGCCUUCCUUUCCCCUUUUGUUGUCGUUGUUUUCUUUUGUUGUUUUGUAGCCCUCUAUUUCCUGUAAACAUAAGAAAACUAAUAAAAAGUUGUUUUUUAAAAA